Salmo salar (Atlantic salmon) is the source of this 54-nucleotide non-coding RNA. NCBI's taxonomy places the organism in Eukaryota, Metazoa, Chordata, Actinopteri, Salmoniformes, Salmonidae. The record is from Rfam.
UGAAUACCAAUUUGUAAGUCGCUCUGGAUAAGAGCGUCUGCUAAAUGACUUAAA